Non-coding RNA from Pelobates cultripes (western spadefoot toad), 2321 nucleotides. Lineage: Eukaryota; Metazoa; Chordata; Amphibia; Anura; Pelobatidae. The record is from the annotation of a GenBank genome assembly.
GACAUUAGGGAGGUACAGCUAUUGAUAGCUGGGGAGAUAUUUGUAUUGAUUGUUUUUUUGAUUGUACUCACAAACAUUUUUUAUUUUAUUCAUUUUUCGUAUUUUGAUAUUAUUUAUUUAAUUCGACUUCCAGUUAUUAUUUACAAAUCUGGAGUAUCGUCUUCAGAUUUGUGAAUUUUCUUUGAUAUUUUUGUAAAUUGUCGAUCUUUUUCUACAUUUUUCAAUUUGAAUAUCAGUUCACCAAAAUUUACUGUUUAGUGACUAAAUACAGCAUCUCCAAUAGUGUCUAAAAAUCUCAGCAUGCUGAUUGGAAAAUAAAUUUCCUUUGCACUAGUUAUUCGCUGUCAACAGCAAUCUUUCUCAGAUGGUGUUCAGAAAUAAAAUGUGUCCUCCAACAAUAUCGGAAAUAUAAUGAUUUCUGACUUGUUCAAGAAACAUUUACACGUUUGUUUGUGAAUUUAUCUUUAGUAUAAUAGUUUUUUUUUGUAUUGUAGUUUAAGCUUUACUUUAACAUGUCUUGUGCCUCUUGUAUACUUGACUCUCAUUUCAAUACUUGAGUAAUUGGUAUAUGCAUUUAUCUAUAGCCUUAAUCAUUGUAAGAUAUUUUUCAGCCUACUUCUACAAAGUGCACUGAGGAUUCUUGCAAUAGGUAGAAAUUUAAAUUAUUUAAUCGAAAUUACCAUUGCAUAUAUGUUUGUGCCUUAAAACCUGUUUGAAGUGUUUACUGUACGUAAAGAAUACACAAUGUUUGUUAUUAUUGUUAAACAUAGCUUUUAUCAGCUCUAGAAUUCACAAACCUACACAAGCACCAACACACUGCUGGUUAAUUGAAAUUAUGUUUUUGUCCAAUAAUAGGUAAGUGGUAGCUUACCCAAGAAUUGUCUGUGGUAUGCCGGUGUUGCCUAAACAAUAUUCUAACAAAUGCCAGUGGCAAGAUGGGUUAGGUCCUUGGAAUGCAAUGUAAAUUGAAUUGAUGUAAACUUUAAACAACUUCUUGAGCAAGGAUCAGAUAUCCCAAAAUACAUUUAUAAACAGCUAUAAACACAUUAAAUAUAAUCAACUGUAUUAACAGUAUAUGUUAUAUACCAGUGGCGCCUGGAAGGUAGAUCCCCGGAUGUUUUAAAACUACAGCUUCCAUGACGCUUUGUCAUUUUAAAGACAUUCUAAAGGCAUGCAAAGCAUCAUUGGGCACCACUGUUAUAUACAGUGCACUGAGCAAAACAACAUGCUUUUUUAGGUACUGCUACAAUAAAACCGUUAAACAUGUCAUAAUGGUGUAUAAAGCAAAGCUCUUUGUAUUCACAUAGAGUGUUUAUUUGGGUUUGGUUUACGUGAAGUAGCUUUACCUAGAACAGUGGUUCCCAACCUAGUCCUAAGACUGAAUCCUUAUAAGUAUGAAUACCCAGAAGUGAAUAUGAUACCUGUCCAUACUGUAAUACUGAUAUCCUACUGAUUAUAUGCUGCUAUACAAACAUUUGUUAUUGGUAUUGUUAAAAGCGGGUGUUUAGCAAUCACUGUACAAUGCCUGGGCUCGUGUCAAUAGAAUACACAGGAAAAAUCUCAUAUGGUUCAAUUUUUAAUGCAGAACACCAUACAGUUACCCAUCGACACAUUGAGUGUCUGUGCUAGGUGUUGAUGGAAACAGAAAACCCAAACACUUUAUGGCUUAUUAACUAAAGUGAGAAUUGAAAGUUCAUUUUAAUUUUAAGGCCGCAUUAGCCAAACUGAAAACUUAGCUGACUGUUUCUGAAUUGGCUAUUUUGACCUUAAAUUUGAAAUUCACUUUCAAUUCACUUUACAUUCUCACUUUAGUGAGAAUAAACGGGUUAGUUCUAAAAAAAAAAAAAAUGGGAAAAUAAAUAUUUGAACUCAAUCAUGUGUCACAUAUUGUUUGCUAUUCAAGUCAAUUAUCCAAUUUCUCCAUAUAACUAAAUGUAGUGAUGAUUGAAGCAGUAAAAAUAACAAAAACAGUGAAGCAAUCUAUGAAAUAUUUGCCAUUUGUUUCUCCCAGGUUUAGAUUGUGACUUUUAAUACUAAAAUUAUUACAGCAAUUAUGAAGCAUUUGUCUAACAACUUUUGAGGGGCAAGGUUUGUGCAGAGCUCCAUCUUGGAGAUGUACUGAAUCGUUAUUGGCAGUCACAAAGAUCAAAUUUCAUUAAUUUUAUGCUAUGAUUACUGAGAAGCAACAGAAUAAAACAUAUCUUUUUUUUACGAGUUUGUAUUAUUAUGUGAAAUAGCUACCAUUAACUAAUGUUAAUAAUGUUUCAUUAAAAUAUGAAAAAUAUAUUAUUUUAAUGUAAAUAAACUUUGUUUUAAAAAAA